UGAGGGGAUAAAUAUGCUGUGAAGUAGUAUCAAAAAUGCCUAACUCCUUACACAGAUGUCAACAUGUGAUAGAGGACGGAAGAUAUUUCACAUAUAAGAUGAACAAUGGCGAACCUAAGAUUUAGCCUCGUGGAACUCCAUAUAUGAUUUCUGCCCAAUCAGAGUAAUGUCCCAGGUCAACAUCAGAUGUAUUAGUGCAUUAACAAGCUAACUGCGACGAGGUUGCUGGUGACCACAGCAGAGCCUCAUGCCUGACACUGUGACCUGACCUGGCGGUGAAACAUCCAUCACCAUGCUUG
Schistocerca americana (American grasshopper) is the source of this 299-nucleotide long non-coding RNA. RefSeq lists it as uncharacterized. The record is from RefSeq and is a predicted model, not a curated record. The transcript has 3 exons. Lineage: Eukaryota; Metazoa; Arthropoda; Insecta; Orthoptera; Acrididae.